Molecule: non-coding RNA, 276 nt
Organism: Cinara cedri
Lineage: Eukaryota; Metazoa; Arthropoda; Insecta; Hemiptera; Aphididae
Source: the annotation of a GenBank genome assembly
UAGUACGAUUUCCUUUAGCAACAGUGAUACAUUUAAAAAUCGGAGCAAGAUUUCUGGUAGAAAAGAUUGCACAAAAAAUCGAGGGGUAUUUUUCGACUAAAAUAGUCCUAGUGAGCGAUAGCUGGGUCUCUAGGUACACCUAAAAUGCAUUUGUUUUUGCGCUGUUUAAAAGUGAAAAAAAGAGUGCAACCAUUUUUUUCGAAACACAGGUUUGAUUUCGCGAACCCUAGGAUAACAAUAGAUACUUAUAACCAUUAGGCUACGUCAAGUUUACUC